This 253-nucleotide ribosomal RNA is filed under the name uncultured bacterium. Its description in RNAcentral is "partial 16S ribosomal RNA". It matches the Rfam family "Bacterial small subunit ribosomal RNA", at positions 524 to 776 of the family's 1533-position model. The record is from RNAcentral.
UACGUAGGGUGCGAGCGUUAAUCGGAAUUACUGGGCGUAAAGUGUGCGCAGGCGGCCGAGCAAGUCGAGUGUGAAAGCCCCGGGCUUAACUUGGGAAUUGCGCUCGAAACUACUUGGCUGGAGUGUGGCAGAGGAAGGUGGAAUUCCAGGUGUAGCGGUGAAAUGCGUAGAGAUCUGGAGGAACACCGAUGGCGAAGGCAGCCUUCUGGGCCAACACUGACGCUGAGACGCGAAAGCGUGGGGAGCGAACAGG